UUCGUAGGGACCGAGCGUUGUCCGGAAUCAUUGGGCGUAAAGAGCGUGUAGGCGGCUAUUUAAGUCCUGCGUGAAAUCCUGCGGCUCAACCGCAGACGGUCGUGGGAAACUGGAUGGCUAGAGUGCGGGAGAGGAGAGUGGAAUUCCCGGUGUAGCGGUGAAAUGCGCAGAUAUCGGGAAGAACACCCGUGGCGAAGGCGGCUCUCUGGAACGCAACUGACGCUGAGACGCGAAAGCGUGGGGAGCAAACAGG
RNAcentral lists this ribosomal RNA (253 nucleotides) under uncultured bacterium. Its description in RNAcentral is "partial 16S ribosomal RNA". It matches the Rfam family "Bacterial small subunit ribosomal RNA", at positions 524 to 776 of the family's 1533-position model. The record is from RNAcentral.